RNAcentral lists this ribosomal RNA (353 nucleotides) under uncultured bacterium. Its description in RNAcentral is "bacterial SSU rRNA". It matches the Rfam family "Bacterial small subunit ribosomal RNA", at positions 8 to 350 of the family's 1533-position model. The record is from RNAcentral.
AGAGUUUGAUCAUGGCUCAGGAUGAACGCUAGCUACAGGCUUAACACAUGCAAGUCGAGGGGAAACGACAUCGAAAGCUUGCUUUUGAUGGGCGUCGACCGGCGCACGGGUGAGUAACGCGUAUCCAACCUGCCCACCACUUGGGGAUAACCUUGCGAAAGUAAGACUAAUACCCAAUGACGUCUCUAGAAGACAUCUGAAAGAGAUUAAAGAUUUAUCGGUGAUGGAUGGGGAUGCGUCUGAUUAGCUUGUUGGCGGGGUAACGGCCCACAAGGCGACGAUCAGUAGGGGUUCUGAGGAGGAAGGUCCCCCANAUUGGAACUGAGACACGGUCCAAACUCCUACGGGAGGCA